RNAcentral lists this non-coding RNA (75 nucleotides) under Streptomyces sp. CB02009. Lineage: Bacteria; Bacillati; Actinomycetota; Actinomycetes; Kitasatosporales; Streptomycetaceae. The record is from RNAcentral.
CUUGAGAGACCCCAGCAUCAGGGGUCGGUCGUUGUCGCGUGCGCUGCCGUAGGUGGCCAGAAGGGCCUGUGCCUC